RNAcentral lists this ribosomal RNA (1247 nucleotides) under Candidatus Phytoplasma pruni. RNAcentral's name for it is "bacterial SSU rRNA". It matches the Rfam family "Bacterial small subunit ribosomal RNA", at positions 153 to 1399 of the family's 1533-position model. The record is from RNAcentral. Lineage: Bacteria; Bacillati; Mycoplasmatota; Mollicutes; Acholeplasmatales; Acholeplasmataceae.
GAAACGACUGCUAAGACUGGAUAGGAAAAGUGAAGGCAUCUUUACUUUUUUAAAAGACCUUCUUUGAAGGUAUGCUUAAGGAGGGGCUUGCGACACAUUAGUUAGUUGGCAGGGUAGAGGCCUACCAAGACUAUGAUGUGUAGCUGGACUGAGAGGUUGAACAGCCACAUUGGGACUGAGACACGGCCCAAACUCCUACGGGAGGCAGCAGUAGGGAAUUUUCGGCAAUGGAGGAAACUCUGACCGAGCAACGCCGCGUGAACGAUGAAGUACCUCGGUAUGUAAAGUUCUUUUAUUAAGGAAGAAAAAAGAGUGGAAAAACUCCCUUGACGGUACUUAAUGAAUAAGCCCCGGCUAAUUAUGUGCCAGCAGCCGCGGUAAUACAUAAGGGGCGAGCGUUAUCCGGAAUUAUUGGGCGUAAAGGGUGCGUAGGCGGUUUAAUAAGUCUAUAGUUUAAUUUCAGCGCUUAACGCUGUUGUGCUAUAGAAACUGUUUUACUAGAGUGAGAUAGAGGCAAGCGGAAUUCCAUGUGUAGCGGUAAAAUGCGUAAAUAUAUGGAGGAACAUCAGAGGCGUAGGCGGCUUGCUGGGUCUUUACUGACGCUGAGGCACGAAAGCGUGGGGAGCAAACAGGAUUAGAUACCCUGGUAGUCCACGCCGUAAACGAUGAGUACUAAGUGUCGGGUAAAACCGGUACUGAAGUUAACACAUUAAGUACUCCGCCUGAGGAGUACGUACGCAAGUAUGAAACUUAAAGGAAUUGACGGGACUCCGCACAAGCGGUGGAUCAUGUUGUUUAAUUCGAAGAUACACGAAAAACCUUACCAGGUCUUGACAUUUUCUUGCGAAGUUAUAGAAAUAUAAUGGAGGUUAUCAGGAAAACAGGCGGUGCAUGGUUGUCGUCAGCUCGUGUCGUGAGAUGUUAGGUUAAGUCCUAAAACGAGCGCAACCCUUGUCGUUAAUUGCCAGCAUGUAAUGAUGGGGACUUUAACGAGACUGCCAAUGAAAAAUUGGAGGAAGGUGGGGAUUACGUCAAAUCAUCAUGCCCCUUAUGAUCUGGGCUACAAACGUGAUACAAUGGUUGAUACAAAGAGUAGCUGAAACGCGAGUUCUUAGCCAAUCUCACAAAAUCAAUCUCAGUUCGGAUUGAAGUCUGCAACUCGACUUCAUGAAGUUGGAAUCGCUAGUAAUCGUGAAUCAGCAUGUCGCGGUGAAUACGUUCGCGGGGUUUGUACACACCGCCCGUCA